Molecule: ribosomal RNA, 1492 nt
Filed under: uncultured bacterium
Lineage: Bacteria
Description: 16S ribosomal RNA
Rfam family: Bacterial small subunit ribosomal RNA
Source: RNAcentral
AGAGUUUGAUCCUGGCUCAGGAUGAACGCUAGCUACAGGCUUAACACAUGCAAGUCGAGGGGCAGCAUGGUCUUAGCUUGCUAAGGCCGAUGGCGACCGGCGCACGGGUGAGUAACGCGUAUCCAACCUGCCUUACACUCUUGGACAGCCUUCUGAAAGGGAGAUUAAUACAAGAUGUUAUCAUGAGUAAGCAUUUUCGCAUGAUUAAAGGUUUACCGGUGUAAGAUGGGGAUGCGUUCCAUUAGAUAGUAGGCGGGGUAACGGCCCACCUAGUCUUCGAUGGAUAGGGGUUCUGAGAGGAAGGUCCCCCACAUUGGAACUGAGACACGGUCCAAACUCCUACGGGAGGCAGCAGUGAGGAAUAUUGGUCAAUGGACGAGAGUCUGAACCAGCCAAGUAGCGUGAAGGAUGAAGGUUCUAUGGAUUGUAAACUUCUUUUAUACGGGAAUAAACGAAUCCACGCGUGGAUUUUUGCAUGUACCGUAUGAAUAAGGAUCGGCUAACUCCGUGCCAGCAGCCGCGGUAAUACGGAGGAUCCGAGCGUUAUCCGGAUUUAUUGGGUUUAAAGGGAGCGUAGAUGGGUUGUUAAGUCAGUUGUGAAAGUUUGCGGCUCAACCGUAAAAUUGCAAUUGAUACUGGCAGUCUUGAGUACAGUUGAGGUAGGCGGAAUUCGUGGUGUAGCGGUGAAAUGCUUAGAUAUCACGAAGAACUCCGAUUGCGAAGGCAGCUUACUAACCUGUAACUGACAUUGAUGCUCGAAAGUGUGGGUAUCAAACAGGAUUAGAUACCCUGGUAGUCCACACGGUAAACGAUGAAUACUCGCUGUAGGCGAUAUACAGUCUGCGGCCAAGCGAAAGCAUUAAGUAUUCCACCUGGGGAGUACGCCGGCAACGGUGAAACUCAAAGGAAUUGACGGGGGCCCGCACAAGCGGAGGAACAUGUGGUUUAAUUCGAUGAUACGCGAGGAACCUUACCCGGGCUUAAAUUGCAACCGAAUAUGGCGGAAACGCUAUAGCUAGCAAUAGCGGUUGUGAAGGUGCUACAUGGUUGUCGUCAGCUCGUGCCGUGAGGUGUCGGCUUAAGUGCCAUAACGAGCGCAACCCUUGCCGAUAGUUACUAACAGGUCAUGCUGAGGACUCUGUCGGGACUGCCAUCGUAAGAUGUGAGGAAGGUGGGGAUGACGUCAAAUCAGCACGGCCCUUACGUCCGGGGCUACACACGUGUUACAAUGGGGGGUACAGAGGGCUGCUACCACGCAAGUGGAUGCCAAUCCCAAAAACCUCUCUCAGUUCGGAUUGAAGUCUGCAACCCGACUUCAUGAAGCUGGAUUCGCUAGUAAUCGCGCAUCAGCCACGGCGCGGUGAAUACGUUCCCGGGCCUUGUACACACCGCCCGUCAAGCCAUGGGAGCCGGGGGUACCUGAAGUGCGUAACCGCAAGGAGCGCCCUAGGGUAAAACUGGUGACUGGGGCUAAGUCGUAACAAGGUAGCCG